GAACAAGUCAGGGGCAGCAGUCGUAACUGGCCACACGCGCCGGUAAUACGUGUUUUUAAACAGAGCGCGGAGAAAGUGUCACGCCGCGCAAUGACGACGUUGCGAUCAAUCAUAGAAUAGAUGUGUUCUGUCGGUCUGUCACCCACGGUGAUAACCACGUGCAACGCGAAUUAAACUCUGUCUAUACAGCGUGGGCAUCGCGCGGCGCAGAAAAUACGCCGGUAAGAGGCUCCAUGUCAUGGGAGGCUAGCCUGUGUAGACCGGCUGGUUACCCUGUGCUGGGGUAAGGAGGAAAGGGAAUUAAAGGUGAUAGGAGACAUCACAAAAAAAUAAAAGAAAAGAAAAAAAAUGAUCUGCCCAUGAUGGUAUCCAUUGCAUAGCAAUACCACCGUCGAGAACCGACGCAGCUACAAGGUUUUGGUCAUUCGCUAUAGCACGCGAACUGACAUGGUCACAUUGGAAAUUGACGGACUUCAUAAACACUCUUCUUCACAGUUAGGGUCCGCAUCUACAGCUCCAUCUCCCGCCAGAGAUAUCACGAGCCGAAUAAACGGUUAUCUGCCGCCUGUGGCUCGGCGGGGCCUUCACAAACGCCUAUUCAUUUCGCCUCGCAAUACGGCCGACAACCGUAUACAUGCGACGACUGUCCCUGGCUGCGAGGAGACAAUUGCGCUACCUUCUUUGUGAAUGUCGUCGUUUCGGUGCGCCUAGGAGACAACGUUCAACCGCAUUAGACAGACCGGACAAUCGCCCUUUGUCAGAGACCAGAAUCCUCGGACAGUGGUCGAGAACGUCCUCGGCACAGAAGGAGUUGAACGCGUUGUGACGCUUUUUGGGAAGUGGCCUUAGUGACAGAUCGACUAUGAGAAGUGUUGCACCCCAUGCACAUCGCAACCACGUAGUAUUUUUUUCCCCUUUUAUUAUUUUUUUAACGUGAUAGAACCACGAUAAGGCAUGCCGUAGUGAGGGACUCCGGAUUAAUUUUUACCACCUGGCGUUCUUUAACGUGCACCCAGUGCCAGGAGCGACGUUUAUUGAGGUUUAUUGAGCGCGACAACAUGGCUGCUCAACUCGAUCCAGUACUAUAUCCAUUGAUUGAAUUGCAGACCCUCCCUAAUUUUUAACAAUAUCGCGCGAGCGUCGACUGCUGCACGGCAUUUCAGCGCCUGAUAACGGAGAGCAGCGACGAGAUCGAAGACAGAAUGCACAUGCGCGCAAGGCAUAGCCCAGCGUCGUUUGCUACGCUGUUCACUUCAGGAGGACACACACCUUGGCAGUGCUAUCUGCGCGUUGAAGCUAAACGCGAUAAAUAAGGGGAAAAAAAAGAUUUUUACAGAGCAACGCGGACAGCUAAUUCGAAUAGCUGGUGAGUUUGACAUACGCGCGCUUAUCCGCAUCCAACGGCCAACGCCUGCCACAGGAUGCAGCCAUCGUAUAACGCCUUCGAAUCCGGUUCGCACGCGGCCGCGGCAGCCAGAGAUGAAGCUCACGAUUACGCAUACAGAGCGGUGACCGCCGAGACACUCGCUUAUCGGAGGUGACAUCGCGGUUGUUAUCAUCGGGAGCAUAUACUGUAAGUACGUGACGCUUCGACAAAUUCAGGAUCACUCGGCACCACUUGUAGCACGACUAGACGGGAAAUGCGACACGGUAAUCGGAAAGCGUGAGCUGGAAACCUGAACACGCGCACUUCCUGAGGCGGUCCUACCGCUCGUUCCUGCUGCUGGUGCUGCUG
Dermacentor silvarum is the source of this 1735-nucleotide long non-coding RNA. RefSeq lists it as uncharacterized. NCBI's taxonomy places the organism in Eukaryota, Metazoa, Arthropoda, Arachnida, Ixodida, Ixodidae. The record is from RefSeq and is a predicted model, not a curated record. The transcript is spliced from 3 exons.